This 304-nucleotide ribosomal RNA is filed under the name uncultured bacterium. RNAcentral's name for it is "partial 16S ribosomal RNA". It matches the Rfam family "Bacterial small subunit ribosomal RNA", at positions 509 to 807 of the family's 1533-position model. The record is from RNAcentral.
CAGCAGUCGCCGCGGGAAUACAGAGGGUGCGAGCGUUAAUCGGAUUUACUGGGCGUAAAGCGUGCGUAGGCGGCUUCUUAAGUCGGAUGUGAAAUCCCUGAGCUUAACUUAGGAAUUGCAUUCGAUACUGGGAAGCUAGAGUAUGGGAGAGGAUGGUAGAAUUCCAGGUGUAGCGAUGAAAUGCGUAGAGAUCUGGAGGAAUACCGAUGGCGAAGGCAGCCAUCUGGCCUAAUACUGACGCUGAGGUACGAAAGCAUGGGGAGCAAACAGGAUUAGAUACCCCCGUAGUCCCUGUCUCUUAUAC